UGUGAGUAUAUUGUAUGGAAUAAGGAGUGUAAUGAAAUGGAAUAAGAAAAUUGUGUGGAUAAAGGUGAAGGAAGUAUGGAGAAAAGAUGGAAAGAUCAAAAAUCGAAUUUGCUCGAUUUGAUCCGAGAAGAGCAAAAUUUCAAGAUUCACUUUGGAACACUAAACUUUUCAUUCAAUGAAUCUCUUUGGUUUACAACCUUGUCUAUUUAUAAUAGUACAUAUUUAAGAAAAGGCGGGAAAAACUAAAAAGAUUGUUUUUCAAUACAUGAGAUAAAUAAAGAAAUUAGAGAUAAAAAGAUAAUUAGAAAUAUAUUUCUCUAAUAACAUAGGUAAUCGUUUUGUUGAUUUGAAUUCUUCGACGGUUGCUCCUUCGGAUGACGUUAUUGACUGAAAUCUCUGAUGGUUGUUCUUCGAUGGUUUGAUCUUUGAUCAGUUCUUCAUGUAAAAACUUAAACUAACAGAGAGUUUAAUUUGUGGACCAGUUCAGAUUUAUUCUAAAGAUCUUAACUUAGAGAAGAAAUAGAUGCGGCACAAACAAGAUUGAAUUGAUUGACCCAUUUAUAUUUAUUUUAAGAAGUGAACAUAAACAUGCCCAAUUGAGUCAAAGAAUAAGAAACCUGAAUGUGAAAUAGUAUGAAAGAAAAAAUAGAAGUUCAACAUGAUUUGAAAGAAAAAUUAGACAUUGAAUGGACAGAGUAGAUUUCUAAUUAACAGUGCCAAAAACUAAUUUUAAACCUAUCUAACAAUAAUUUUAGAACAAUCUAAAAUUGAAACAGAAAUGAACUGAAUGAAGAAAUCUGUAAUGAAUAGAAUACGAAUCCUAAUGGAAACCAAACCAUACCUGAAAUGAAGGACAAUACCAAUGAAAUGUACGGAAGAAGAAAGUCUGAUGAUCAGGAAUCGAUGCACGAGAAUCUGAAGAAAGAUGAGUUCUUAUAAGCUUUCUUUCCUUUGGACCAGUGGAUAUUUAAUCCAGGGGAAUAAAGUACCCUUGGAUUAAAUGAUGUAGUUCGUUUAAACCUGUAAACAAAAAGGCAUUGAAUUUUUUUAAAAACUUACCUUAUAUUGUUUUUGCAGAUAUUGGCUUUCCCAGGCGUCGGUUCAUCUUUCCCAAGGGUAAAUGUCGACUUGUUUUAUAAAUUAACACGGAUAGGGGCACCCCAAUCCGUGUUUCACACCAAUCCCUGUCAACUUAAUUACUUAAUACAAUUG
Molecule: long non-coding RNA, 1212 nt
Filed under: Zostera marina
Lineage: Eukaryota; Viridiplantae; Streptophyta; Magnoliopsida; Alismatales; Zosteraceae
Description: long non-coding RNA (ZMAR_LNC001393)
Source: RNAcentral